UGGAACUAGUUAUCUACAACCUACUCUGAGCUUGAAAUGGGUGGAAAGGAGGGUGGUGAGAUUAUAAAAUCUCAGUGAGUAAACAAACAUUAUUUAAAUCAACUAAAGCCGAGUAAAAGGAGACAAUUAAAAUAUCCCAUCAUUUUUAAGUAUUUCACAAUUUGAAAAUUUAUCCCAACCCAUGCAAACGGUUGUAAUUCAUUUAAUUUCUCAUUAAGGCUUAUGACUUCCAUAAACAUUUGGCUCAUGCCAUCAAAUAGUACUUGAUGACACCUUGAUCAGAGGAGUACACUCGAGCCCGCAAAGGCUGUUAAAAUUUCGUAUACACGUAAAACAUAUUUUUAGUUUGAAAAACACAGUCAUUCCUUGGCGUUAGCGGAGUUCAUCAUCACGAGGUGGUUCGACGUGACGUGAACUUUGUCCAUACCUCAGGAGAUACCCUACGCGCCUCUCCGACCGAGGUACAUAUAUAUAUAUAUAUCCGGAUUUCGUGCCCCUCUAAUAGGCUGGUCCACAGAAUUCGCCCACUGCAGCAAGCUAAACUCACCAUACAAUAAAAUUUAAUAACAUGAUAUGACAAUUAUUGUAAUUCACAUCCUUUCAAGGCUAAAUACAUAUUUCAUACAUUUCAACACAAAUAUCAAUUCAGCCAUUCAUGCAAAUAUUGUCAUAAGCCAUUCGAUUUCAAAUCGUAAAUUUACAAUGUAACAAGUGGUAUCCAAUUACUCUAUUUUUCAAAAUCAUUAUUCGAUUUCAAGACAAUUUAUAAAAUCCUUUCAUGUAAAUACAUUUUGUUUGUAAAACACAAAGAUUUACCAUUUAAACUCUUUUUCAUAAAAUUUCACCAAAAUCGAUUAAAAACAUACUUUAGAUAAUAAAAAUGAUGGUAAGGUUACUCACAGUACUAGGAGUUCGAUAUACUCCUAUUCCCGAUCUUCGGGCAUAAUCUCUUUACCCUUGUUAGAGGGCUCACCACCUAUACAUCAUGCGUGACACGAAUUUCAAUAAAUUGUGUCAAUUUAUCAUAAACUAUUUUAGAUUCUCUAAAUCUAAAUGAAUGCAUGCGAUGGGAUGCAAAAUGUCUGAUUAAUCACUUAAAUGUGAUAUUUGACCUAAGUCACACUAUACUCGGCCUAGUCGGCUAAAAUCUCCAAUUUAACUUCAAAUCAAUUCUUCUUACUUUCUACACUCGAAUUAUACCUAAAUUAGCUCAGUGACUGUCAAUGAGAUUCAAUUUAUCAGUCUCGAGUCAAUAAUCACACAUGUUUAUACAUUAGGUAAAAAUUUGAAUUUUCACACCAAAAUUUCUCAUUUAAUUUCUAGCCUCACCAAACAUCAAAUAUCACCCAAAUAUCAUGAAAUAUCAUCAAUUUCAGCCACAAUAUCCUCCCUAGAAAAUUCGGCCAAUGAUGGUGAUGGGGAAAAAUGAAUUCUUUUCUUGUUGUUUUGUUUCUAAAUAUGCUAAACUAACUAAAAACACUAACAUAACUUAAAAUCAAAUCAAUCCAACAUCUUUCUCUCUCCAUACUCAUUUUGACCAGCCAUGUAUUCACCAUGAAAACAUAAAAUCUAACCAUGAAAAAUAAGGAGAAAUGCAUGGGAAAGGUAGAUCACAAGUCAAAAUCAAGAAAAUUUACCUUUGAUUGCUUGAUUCCUUGAAAUCCACCAAUUUUUCUUCAAUUUUCCCACCUAAGGUUCUUGUUUUUUUUCCUUUCCUCCUUUGUUGUUCUUUGGCCGGC
This 1739-nucleotide long non-coding RNA is filed under the name Theobroma cacao (cacao). RNAcentral's name for it is "long non-coding RNA (TCAC_LNC006429)". Lineage: Eukaryota; Viridiplantae; Streptophyta; Magnoliopsida; Malvales; Malvaceae. The record is from RNAcentral.